AGGCCAACGUGUAGGCCGUAUGAUGGGUUUUCUACGUCUUUCACAAGCGGCCAAAGCGGUGAUUGCUGGUGGUAGCAAUUACGAGAAUCUUGAGGACUGAAGUGGAGAAGGGUUCCAUGUGAACAGCAGUCGAACAUGGGUCAGUCGGUCCCAAGGGCAAGAAGUUCUUUCCGAAGCGGGAUCGCUUUUGCAGUGGAGAGAGCCCGCAGGGAACGAAGAGGAAUUGGAUUAAUAAUCUCGAACCCGGACAUUUGUCGUUCGGGGCCCAGUGCGGUAACGCAAAACAAGCUCGGAGACGCCUAUGCAAGCCCCGGGAAGAGUUUUCUCUGCAAGGAGUCCCUGAAAUGGGUUCGCCCCGAGAUGGGCAUGGUGGCUCCCUAGAGCAGUGCGGCUCUUGCGCUUGCGUCGUCCCUUGAAAAUCCGAGCGAGGAGUGUGAUUUUCGUGCCGGACCGUACCCACACCCGCGGCAGGUCUCCAAGGUAAACAGCCGGUAGUCGAUGCACCAAUGAAGGUAAGGGAAGUCGGCAAGUCCUAACCAAUUGGGAUAAGGUUUGGCUCCGAUGACUGAGCCGGUGGAUGGGUUCGUGUCCAAUGAGGGAAAAUCCGAGUCCCAGCCGAACCCUGAAGCAGCACUUGGGCCCAAUCCGCUCUGGCCGCUUGUAGAUGGCGUAUCAUUGGGAAGGAUAGGCAAAUAUGAGGAGGCACCAUUGGCCGAAAGCGCGCUGGGCGUGUUCCAGGGCGUCUUCUCAAAUUCGAAUGUGGCCAACCAGAAGCCGGAAAUAGUAAUUUGGCGGUGGUUGUGAGAAACAAACUUAAUAAGUGCGUCGGAGUAACUCUUGGUGAUUGAAAAUAUGGUGCACGUGAUGUUUCAAUCACGGUCAUCCAAAAUCAUGGUGGAAGAGUACGACUAGCGGAACGAUCGACAUAAUAUUUUACGCCAGGCGCCGAAAGCCGGGAAUCUGCCGUCCGAGCGGUCACACUCUGUC
This 987-nucleotide non-coding RNA is filed under the name Ixodes scapularis (black-legged tick). RNAcentral's name for it is "Eukaryotic large subunit ribosomal RNA". It matches the Rfam family "Eukaryotic large subunit ribosomal RNA", at positions 1383 to 2090 of the family's 3401-position model. Lineage: Eukaryota; Metazoa; Arthropoda; Arachnida; Ixodida; Ixodidae. The record is from Rfam by way of RNAcentral.